GCCUCGGUAGCGCAGUAGGCAGCGCGUCAGUCUCAUAAUCUGAAGGCCGUGAGUUCGAUCCUCACCCGGGGCA
Non-coding RNA from Arabis alpina (gray rockcress), 73 nucleotides. Lineage: Eukaryota; Viridiplantae; Streptophyta; Magnoliopsida; Brassicales; Brassicaceae. The record is from Rfam.